RNAcentral lists this ribosomal RNA (1325 nucleotides) under Argynnis paphia (silver-washed fritillary). RNAcentral describes it as "16S ribosomal RNA". Lineage: Eukaryota; Metazoa; Arthropoda; Insecta; Lepidoptera; Nymphalidae. The record is from RNAcentral.
GGGGAUAAAUUAAUAAAAUAAAAUUAAUAAAAAAAUUUUUAAUAUUGGGGGAUAUUAAAGUAUUUUUUAGAGAAAAAAUAAAAAAUUUUAUAGUGAAUUAGUAUUGUAAAAUAAAUUUGAAAUAAAAUUGAAAAAAAAUUAAAAAAAAAGUAAAUUUAAUUUAUUGUAUCUUGUGUAUCAGAGUUUAUUUAAAAAUAUUUAAUAAAUAAUAAAAUCUCGAAUUUAAAAGAGUUAAUUAAUUAUAAAAGUUAAUGUUGAAUAAUUAUUUUAAAUAAUUAAUUUGAAAUGAAAUGUUAAUCGUUUUUAAAUAUAUCUAGUUUUUUUAGAAAAAAAUUUAAUUUUAAAUUUAAAAAAUUUUUUAAUUAAUUAAUUAAAUAAAAAAUUUUAAAAUUAAAUAUUUUAGGGGAUAAGCUUUAAUUUAUAUAUUUAUAAUAAAAAUAAUUUUGUUAAAAUUUUUAAAAUUUAUAUUGUUUAAAAAUUAUAGUUUAUUAAAAAAAAUUUUAUAAUAAAUAAAAUUUAAUUAUAAUAUGUUUAAUUUUUUAUAAAAAAAUAUUUUUUAAUAAAAAAAUUAUAUAAAUAAUGAUAAAAUUAGUAUAUUAUUAAUUAAAAAUUUAAAUUUAAAUUAAAGUUAAUUUAAAGGAAUUCGGCAAAAUUUUAUAUUCACUUGUUUAUCAAAAACAUGUCUUUUAGAUAAUAAUUUAAAGUCUAAUCUGCCCACUGAUUAAGAAAAAAAUUAAAGGGCUGCAGUAUAUUGACUGUACAAAGGUAGCAUAAUCAUUAGUCUUUUAAUUGGGGACUUGUAUGAAAGAUUUGAUGAAAUAUAAACUGUCUCUAAAUUAUUAAUAAAAAUUAAUUUUUUAGUUAAAAAGCUAAAAUUUAUUUAAAAGACGAGAAGACCCUAUAGAGUUUUAUAAUAAUGAUAAUUAAAAUUAAAUAUUUAAUUAUAAAUUAAAAUUAUUAUUAUUAUUUUGUUGGGGUGAUAGAAAAAUUAAAAAAACUUUUUUUUUUAUGAAUCAUAAAUAAGUGAGUUAUUGAUCCAUUAAUAAUGAUUAUAAGAAAAAAUUACCUUAGGGAUAACAGCGUAAUUUUUUUUUUUAGUACAAAUAAAAAAAAAAGGUUGCGACCUCGAUGUUGGAUUAAGAUAAAAAUUAAAUGCAAAAGUUUAAAAUUUUGAUCUGUUCGAUCAUUAAAAUCUUACAUGAUCUGAGUUCAAACCGGUGUAAGCCAGGUUGGUUUCUAUCUUUAGAAAAUUAAAAUAUUUUAGUACGAAAGGAUCAAGUAUUUUAAAUAAUUUAAAAAAAAAUGAAUAUUAUUAAAAUUAUUUA